This 247-nucleotide long non-coding RNA is filed under the name Mytilus galloprovincialis (Mediterranean mussel). Lineage: Eukaryota; Metazoa; Mollusca; Bivalvia; Mytilida; Mytilidae. The record is from RNAcentral.
GUUGAACUCCACGGCAACACUUCCGGUAAUAACAAUGUCGGAUUCCACCAUACAAAAUAAUCUUGGAUUAUGUGAAGGUCAGGAUUAUACAGUGCAAACACAAUAAAAGGUAGGACAGAAGUGGAUUUUUGGACCGGAUUUUCCUUCCGCUAAUCGAAAAACAUGAUCUUUAGUAAACACGGUCGAUAUUUAAGAAAAUUUUGACAAAAAACAUGGUGCCAAUUUUACGUGACGGCGACUAUAAUAA